RNAcentral lists this ribosomal RNA (776 nucleotides) under uncultured Neocallimastigales. Its description in RNAcentral is "partial large subunit ribosomal RNA". It matches the Rfam family "Eukaryotic large subunit ribosomal RNA", at positions 23 to 646 of the family's 3401-position model. The record is from RNAcentral. Lineage: Eukaryota; Fungi; Neocallimastigomycota; Neocallimastigomycetes; Neocallimastigales.
AGAGAGAGACAUGCGUGCAUAUCAAUAAGCGGAGGAAAAAAGAAACUAACAAGGAUUCCCCUAGUAACGGCGAGUGAAGCGGGAAGAGCUCAAAUUUGAAAUCUUAAAGGGUUUCCCUUUACGAAUUGUAGUUUAAAGAAGUGUUUUCUGUUGAGGUUUUGGUAAAAGUUCUUUGGAAUAGGACAUCAUAGAGGGUGAGAAUCCCGUAUUUGACCUUUACUUUCAACUUUGUGAUACACUUUCAAAGAGUCGGAUUGUUUGGGAAUGCAGUCCAAAAUGGGUGGUAAAUUUCAUCUAAAGCUAAAUAUUGGCGAGAGACCGAUAGCGAACAAGUACCGUGAGGGAAAGAUGAAAAGAACUUUGAAAAGAGAGUUAAACAGUACGUGAAAUUGUCAAAAGGGAAGCGUUUGACACCAGUGUUGUUUUUCUGAAAAUCAAUUAAAGAACUGUUUAUGCUAAGUUGUUUAGACUUUAUCAGCUAACUGUUUAGUUUUGAGCUUUUCUUUAAUGCACUUUUCAGUUAACAAGUCAACAUCAAUUUCUUUUGCUGUAAAAAAGCUUGAGGAAGGUGGCUUGAGAUUCGUCUUAAGUGUUUAUAGCCUCUUGCCUAUGCAGUCGGAGAGAUUGAGGUCCGCAGCGUAGAUCCUUCGGGGCUAAAUGCAUUUGUGCUAAGUUAUAGCAUUUUAUAGACAACUUGUUGACUAUGAUUUGUCUUGUAGCUUACUCGCUUAUGUUAUUUUACCUACGCUUAGGAUGUUGACGCAUGAGAUAUACGC